RNAcentral lists this ribosomal RNA (159 nucleotides) under Myroides marinus. Its description in RNAcentral is "16S rRNA. Bacterial SSU". It matches the Rfam family "Bacterial small subunit ribosomal RNA", at positions 1 to 158 of the family's 1533-position model. Lineage: Bacteria; Pseudomonadati; Bacteroidota; Flavobacteriia; Flavobacteriales; Flavobacteriaceae. The record is from RNAcentral.
AUACGAUGAAGAGUUUGAUCCUGGCUCAGGAUGAACGCUAGCGGCAGGCCUAACACAUGCAAGUCGAGGGGUAGGAAGAGCUUGCUUUUCUGAGACCGGCGCACGGGUGAGUAACGCGUAUGCAAUCUACCUUAUACAGGGGAAUAGCCCAGAGAAAUU